Long non-coding RNA from Daphnia pulex (common water flea), 2817 nucleotides. RefSeq lists it as uncharacterized. Lineage: Eukaryota; Metazoa; Arthropoda; Branchiopoda; Diplostraca; Daphniidae. The record is from RefSeq and is a predicted model, not a curated record. The transcript has 10 exons.
UCAUAGUUAAUUGGUUCAUUGUUCUAUUUUUUCAUUCCGUUCAUUCUUCUGUUGAGUGCCGCUGACUUUUGUAAGGAUGGUUGUAAGUAUAGGAGUAGGUACGUUUGUCGCGUUUUCUUGUUCUGAGCAUCCGUCAAGUGAUGAAUGAAUGAUUCACAGAUUACCCCAACUAAUGUUAUCUUAGUUUUGUUACGAUUCUGUUCACAAUUAUCGGCCUUCAUUUAGUAAUUUAUUUUCUUGUUCGUGCUUUUAAACUCGAUCAACUUUAUCUGCGCUGAAUGACGAUCGUGAACGAGCUCUGACAUAAAGUUUUCUUGUGAUCAAGUCUCCCUUGUCAUUUACCAUAAUAACUGAGAAGUUUCCAAUGCUGCCACAAUAGUUUUCUACUUAAUACUUAUAAUGGAAUGUUUUUAAACUUUUCUUUCACUUUGUUUGUAAGAUUGCUUAUUGUUGAGGCAUAAUAGACUUGCUUCAAGUAUUAGGGUUUGUUCAACAAACUUUCUCGUUUAGAUACAUGUACCGUUGUCUAAGUUUCUAUUUGAAUGUCCAUUGUGUUGGUCUUUACAGGGAGGAGUGGUCUAUGUUUCAGAAUUGGACUACUGGGCAAAGUUCUGCAGUUUGUUAUACCAUGUACCAAAUGAAGCUAAAGUAUUCUUUGUCAUUACCUGGCUGAAAUCAUCUUUGCUAUCCAGCAGUUCUACACUUUCUAGUUUGGAAUAUGAAAAGAUGCAUUGUUUGGAUCUGGUAGACAUGACUUUAAAAAAAGUAAACAAAGAAUAAUACAUCAACGUAAAUUUUUAUUGGUCAACAAGUAGUACUUGGAUAUUAAAUCACGAGCUCACAAAUCAUGUGCUUGCAUGGCACGAAUUCAGUACAACCUGAAGACUCAACUAGGACUUCCAGGCUUCACCAUCUCUCAUUGUGGGCUUUUACGGCAGUAGUCAACGCUCGAGUACAACGGCUUCAAUAGUUUCCCACGUCGUGUGUAGUUUUGCAGGGUUAUAUUAUACAGACAGUUCGAGAUAACAUGGAGGGAUACAUGGAGAUAGUAGCUAUCAACAUAUGGUGACUUUGCUGUUUCUCAGACCAGCCCUACACUUGAGAUCCAGCAAAACAUUUCGAUCAUCGAUACCUCAAUUGGCACAAUUCAGUCGGGAAUUUUCGCAGUCGUAGUUGAGCGUCCGUUUUAAUCGGAUUGUUAGAGGCUCAACUCCAUCAUCUGAUUUAAGCCGAGUCUUCCAUCAUUGUUGAUGUCCUUUGCCGACCGUAAUACCUUUUCCAGCCUGGAACUGAAGCACGUUAGAUGUGUGACAAAGAAAGUUGAAAUAACACACUGAACGAUUGCUGAAGGAUAAGUGAAGAAAUCAACCAUCAUCAACAUCUAACGCUAGGAGAUGAAUUCCGAUGUUCACAAUGACGAAAAGGGAGGCGCAUUGAGAAAGAAACUUUAUUUCGCUACUUCUUCCAAAUCGGCCUCUCGAAGUUCUAUCGUCCGGAAUUUAUAUCGUUGGAACUCGCUCAACAGUAUCUGGUGGUAUUGUGUUUUGGUCAAUCAACUCUGAAAACCCAUUGGCCUGGAAGGUGUCCCCUGUCGCGAGGUGAUAUGAGUUUGCACGACGUUGAUCGAGAAGGCGAGAUUGGGUUGUUGAAUUAGUCGUGAAGUCGUUCUUAUCGUCCAACAUUUCGUGGAAGUGGUUCAGUUGAAAAUCGCGCUGGCGGUAACUAUCGAGCAAAGUAAACAGAAUUGCCAUCAGCCGAAACGAAGAGCACCAAUUUCUGCAAAUAAAUGUUCCACGACAUACUAUUGAGAAUCGCAAGACAUCAAUAUUGACAACAUCAACAUGAUUCUACCGUUAAUUCAAUGGCUUCGGCGGUACUCCGUUCCAGGACCCUUCCAAUGAAAUGAAAGAACAUUUUCCGUGCGACAUCAGGGUGGAACAUAAUGACAAUGAAAACAUGAAGACCUCCACAAAAGCUUCAUAUGGUAACGCCACCGUAUGACAGCAUACGGACCCAUGCAGUAACCCGUGGAACAGCUCCGUACUGGAUGAUUCUAUAGGACGACGCCGGAGGACUUGGGGAAACAACAACCAAAAUCGUAAACCGUGAUAGCUGAUUCAAGCGUGGAGUUCAAAUUAUUAGCCAAGGUUCUCGUGAUGCUCCUCUUUCUUUUCCUGCAGUUGCCGUGUGAGAAACAACCGAAACCUACAGAACUUAAUGCGAGUCCUUUCAAACAAGCACCGUUACAAUUUAGUGUUCCUCAGCUGCAUUUGUGGAACGACGACGGGCGAAUGGGGUCUACUCGGCCUAGACAACAAUGAGCAGAACGUCGUUCUCAUCAACCCAACCCAAAAACAUUGACGGAAUAUUGCCAAGGAUCUUGGCAUGAAACCAGGACUGAAAUGCCACUUACGAGUCGAAUUGAUUGCAUAUAAUAACAGCUCUUUCUUUUUAGCGACAACAGUCCUUUAGUUAAUAAUUCCCAUUAUUUCCGUGUUAUUUGAUUCGUAUAAUUAUUUUAACAAUUAUUCAAGGCAAUGGAGAAUGGAUCUAUUUUAGAAGUUGAAAAAUCAACGAUAAUAAUCAUGAAAAAUUGUAGUGUCGGCAAAGCCUAUCGCCAAAAGUUGAAAGUUGCCAAUCCGAAUUCGACAACAACAUUUACAUUGUGCGACAAUGAUAGCGUAACUACACAAUAUAACAAAAAAAGUGGCUGACCAAUGAAAUUUCUGCCAUUGCACGCGGUGGAAUGACUGCAAAAUUACGUUAAUUAUUACAUACAUAUAUAAUUAAGCUCAAUAAAAAACACAUACAGUUUAA